GAUCAUGGCUCAGGAUGAACGCUAGCUACAGGCUUAACACAUGCAAGUCGAGGGGCAGCAUUUUAGUUUGCUUGCAAACUGAAGAUGGCGACCGGCGCACGGGUGAGUAACACGUAUCCAACCUGCCGAUAACUCGGGGAUAGCCUUUCGAAAGAAAGAUUAAUAUCCGAUGGUAUAUUAAGAUCGCAUGAUUUUACUAUUAAAGAAUUUCGGUUAUCGAUGGGGAUGCGUUCAUUAG
Molecule: ribosomal RNA, 238 nt
Filed under: uncultured bacterium
Lineage: Bacteria
Description: partial 16S ribosomal RNA
Rfam family: Bacterial small subunit ribosomal RNA
Source: RNAcentral